Molecule: ribosomal RNA, 387 nt
Filed under: uncultured bacterium
Lineage: Bacteria
Description: bacterial SSU rRNA
Rfam family: Bacterial small subunit ribosomal RNA
Source: RNAcentral
AUUAAACGCUGGCGGCAUGCCUUACACAUGCAAGUCGAACGGCAGCACGGGGGCAACCCUGGUGGCGAGUGGCGGACGGGUGAGUAAAGCAUCGGAACGUAUCCUGGAGUGGGGGAUAACGUAGCGAAAGUUACGCUAAUACCGCAUAUUCUGUGAGCAGGAAAGCAGGGGAGUCGCAAGACCUUGCGCUCUGGGAGCGGCCGAUGUCGGAUUAGCUAGUUGGUGGGGUAAAGGCCUACCAAGGCGACGAUCCGUAGCGGGUCUGAGAGGAUGAUCCGCCACACUGGGACUGAGACACGGCCCAGACUCCUACGGGAGGCAGCAGUGGGGAAUUUUGGACAAUGGGCGCAAGCCUGAUCCAGCCAUGCCGCGUGAGUGAAGAAGGCC